GCGGUCGUAGCUCAGCUGGAUAGAGCACGAGAUUCCUAAUCUCGGUGUCGUGGGUUCAAAUCCCGCCGAUCGCACCA
Molecule: transfer RNA, 77 nt
Filed under: Holosporales bacterium
Lineage: Bacteria; Pseudomonadati; Pseudomonadota; Alphaproteobacteria; Holosporales
Description: tRNA-Arg
Rfam family: tRNA
About the family: Transfer RNA (tRNA) molecules are approximately 80 nucleotides in length.
Source: RNAcentral